CCUUGGAGAGAAGAACGGAACGGAAGAAGCCGAAGUGAAUGCCUAUUAUAGGUAGUACGCGAUGCGUGACUAAUAGCUGUAGCCGUAAAAAAGAAUCAUGCGAGAUGCUAGGAAUUCAUUCAAAGAAGUCGAACGCAUUUUGCGCCGUGAUAGCGGUUUAAUAACAGGCCAAUCCAAGGCC
Apis florea (little honeybee) is the source of this 181-nucleotide long non-coding RNA. Lineage: Eukaryota; Metazoa; Arthropoda; Insecta; Hymenoptera; Apidae. The record is from RefSeq and is a predicted model, not a curated record.